Non-coding RNA from Sus scrofa (pig), 1251 nucleotides. The record is from RefSeq and is a predicted model, not a curated record. NCBI's taxonomy places the organism in Eukaryota, Metazoa, Chordata, Mammalia, Artiodactyla, Suidae.
CUGUAGGGAAAAUGGAGGAAAUCGGGCCCUUUUCUCCUAGCCGCCAUAUUGCCCCGGCGAGGGACGAAGGAGCCAAGUGUUCCCUGAAAGUGACUAUGCAGGUGCAUGCGCAGUAGAAUGUGAUGCCUGCUGCCCCUUCGAUGACGUCUUGGCAAAUACCGGCUUUGUGUAGGGGGAUGUAAGAGGGACUUUCCGUGCCCCCGCUGGUGCUGCUUUUCGAUGCCAAUAAAGGGAUGUCUGACCAACCUGCAGCGCCUGGGCCCUUUUCUAGGUCGCCCGAAUCCAGGCUGCACCUGCCUGGUCUCGAGCGACUGCAAUACUAUUGGUGUAGUGGGCAGGAUUCGCCACAGUGGGGUAUGGAGACUUCGGGCCCUUUGGGAGGAGUGGAAGGGUGGUUGCCCAAGAGUAUGUGGUCCUGGGUGGCCAGCCUCUUCUCUGCCUGGGCGCCCUCCUGGGAAUAGCCCGAGAUGGACCGGUCCCCUGUAUAGACAGAGGAAGUCCUGCAGGGUGGGCUUUGGAAAAGCAGAGUGCCUGCUGGGCCGCCGGGGCUGUGGGUGGGUGUUCCUUACAGCCCUGAAGGCAGAGUCAGAGGCCACGCUGAGUGAAUCUGCUGGGCAUGAGAGUUGCAGGAGGAAGUGGUUGUCCUCAGCAAGAGUUUGGAAACUUGACAGGAGGGGUGCUGAUCCCAAGAGGACCCGUCCACCCCCACUGAGAUGAGAGAGCCUUCGGAUGAGGAAGAGGAAGCUCCUACCCCCGCUGAGUCUGUAGUGACUCAGAAGGUGAAGCAACAGCCGCCAAUGGCCCCAGGGGGUCAUGCUGCUGAGCCCCCACAGACGACAGAAUUCACCGCUUACGCCCUUACACUCAGGAGGAAAUUACGGGGACUGCAGCUGAGCUAGAAGAGAUGGGUGUCAUACGGACGGCUCAGAGCCCUUGUAACUCACCUGGAUGGCUGGUGUGAAGCGGGGCAACACAUCUGAAGUCACGGGGCUGGCAAUCGAUGAAGCCAACUUGCAGGGGCCUGGAUCGUCGGUCAAGUCUGAGCAGUUGUCUGGUCAGGGAUCCAUCACAUCGCACUGAAACGCAGAGUGAGCCACGCCUGUUCUGUCUAUGCCUGCUUUUCCCACCAGCCACAGGUCAGGAGUCUAAAAGAAAACAAAAGUUGUCAAAAAGAUAGACACUACUGGAGUUCCCGUCGUGGUGCAGCGGAAACGAAUCCAACCAGGAACCAUGAGGCUGUGGGUUCGAUCC